AUAUGCGAACAUAUGUCAACAAUUUUUGCAAAACUGAAUGCUGAGAAUUUUGAAAACUAAGGCAUAGGAAGGUCAACUACCUGUCCGUCCGAGUUUUACAUGUUAUGGCAUUAAAAAACAUAUAUUUAUACUAUACCUAAUAUCUAUAUAGUUUACUUUGAGAGUGAAAAUGUCUAAAAUAAUAUUGCAAACUGCCCUCACACUGUCUUGUUUCCUCACACGAUCUCACAUGGUCAGUAUUUUCAUCAUUCUUUUCAAUCGGCGCCAAGACCGAACUCAUGAGCGUCGAUCAGGCCUUAAAGGAGCUUUAAUUAUUUUAUUUGGCCCGGGCAGCCGCAGGUUAUAAGGCUAUAAGUACCACCCUUACAGCCGGUAAUACUGAUGAUGUGAGGGCUUACAGGCAGUACUUAUUGCUGAUCUAUUGCAGAUAUUGUUGAUCAUGUGAUUGUCGCUUAACAGCAUAUUAUUAGGUUUAACCAACCAGACAGUCUGUUUUAAAAUAAUACAGGUCGGUCAUGUAUAAUCUUAACAAGAGCGAUUUUUGACCGGAAAUAAAGAUAUAAUGGUUUGUAUAGAUAUAAUGGUUUUUUAUAACAUGGCACACCAAUGUCAUAAGUUCGUAGGGUUUCUCACAGAGUAGCCGUUCCUUAUAUGUUUUUGUAGUUAGAAAGAUCUCUGUAUUUCGAAUUUCUUUAGUCCGUAGUGAUCCUUUAACUUUAUAUGCUUGAACUUUUAUUACAGAAAAUAUAAAAAACAAGGAAACCGUUAAAUGAUAUCUAAGUAGAUCGAUCUAAGUUCAGCAUUCGAUUUCCGGAUUUUACAGGACAUAUUUGAAAAAACCAAUUUGCCGGUAUGAAUAUGGUGCAGCUGCUUCAUAAAUUGUCCGUCAUCUUAAAGAAUCAAUCAUAGAAACUAUUGACAUUAGAUUAGCAGGGAAAUCUGAAUCCAGGCAAUUCUUCCAGAUAUCUAAAAAUUAAGCAAUAAUUGUUUUAUUUAAAAGGACAAAGUCAAUGUCGACUUCCGAUUUCAAGUAGUACCUUUACAUUGAACAUAUUUUCAAAUCUUGAAUUGUUCGAAAAUUCCUUUUUAACCAUGCAUUCCGAUUUUGUGUUGGAAAUACUUUUGAAAACCUUUACUAUAUUUCAAAAAUACUAGACAAGUUUUAAACAACUUUGUAUAACACCGAACAAACUGUUCUAUAUGAAACCUCGACAAGUAGCCCAAGACCCAAAAUUUCAGCUGUCUAUCAACUUAAGUGACAUUUGCGGAACGCGCGGGGUGUUUUAAAUUCAGCUCAGGAAAAAAUACGGGAUAGCUCGAAUAAGGGCAAAGCAAAAACUGAAUUUUGGUAGAUAUGUCUGCACAUAUGACGGAAAACAUUGAAACUUUUCGAGCUUUUAAGCUAAGUUAAGAUGAUGAACAUAGAAAAUAUCUGUACACAUAAUCAAUAAUAAAAAAAGGCUGUAUUCACAUUUUAAAUUGUUGUAACUUAGCAUAUAGUAACACAAACGUGAUUUCUUCAGUGCUUUCUACGUAACUAUUUUUGAUUGACGACGUAAAAUGAACUGCGUAUUUAUCAAAUAGGGAACAUGCAGCAUAAGGUAUUCCCGCUUCACAAAAAAGCAAAGGUUUUUGAAAUACGUAGGAGCUAGCUAUGGGUAUAAGUUAACAUAAGCUAUUUGAAAUUUUAUUUAAUAUUCGAAUCCCCAACAAAGUAUUUCAUAAAAGUAGGGCGUUUCUAUAACUCCUCUAUGUGGUUAAAUUGUUUGGGAACGCUUUUUUGUAUAUGACUCUUCAUUCAUCUUGUUUUGCAUUCAAUAUGUGCGCUGUACAUUCUCAAUUAGUUAUUUUUCGUCUAUUUAAUUCUGAAAACAUUAGUUUAAACCCAACUUUUAGAUAAAAAGAAAUAAACAUUAAAAUUGAUGACAGAAAACUAGAUUACGGCCAAUAUUUUUGGACGUUUAUAAUAAAAAAAGGGUAAACUAAAAAAAGUCACAUAAACAUUACAUCGAUAUGGCUAACAUAUUCGCUCAAGUGCCGCUAACAAACCUUUAUUUAUUAUUAAUACAUAUCCACUGAACCAAUUCAUUUGAUUCCGGUAGCGGCUUAUUAUCUUGAUUAUAGUUAACAGUAAUUAACUACGCAUAAACCGAUAUUAAAGAAGCCGCUCCAGUCGGACGAAGCCCUUUUUUAAAUGAAUAACUGCCGGUACUUUUUAUCAAAUUUCUGGAUUCCUUCCUCGGUUUUUGUUGACUCGAACUAGCUAAUGUUUCACCAAUCAUCCUGUGGGCUUCUUCAGAGCUUGACUGAAACUGGAGCCAACAACUGAAGAAGCCAACAGGAUGAUUGGCGAAACGUCAGCAAGUCCGACUCAAUAAAAACCGACGCAGGAGGAAUCCAGAAGUUUUAUAAAAAUUAUUACAGUAGCCUGUGGAAGUUUCUUUGCCGGAUUUUUAUCUCUGCAAAUAAUUUCAUAUUAAGAAAAAAAAAUACACAUAAACAUCGGUGUACAAAACCUGAAGAUUUCCGCUCAAUUACAUAUCGAAAAUUGAUAUAAAUACUGUUAUUAAGAUUGUCACCGGGAAAAAUUCAUUAGUCGACUAUUUUUUAAUCUAUAAAUCAGCAGAUUUGUUGACGAAAAUCAAUUUGCUGCAGUAUUCACAAGUACAAAGAUCUUAAAUUUUCUAAUUUUGUUGUAGUGAUUUCUGGGAAUUGUAGCAAUGGCUUGCUUUAACAAGAUCGUUUUGGUGUUGGGCGGAUUGGCUUUUUCCAAUGCCUGCAAUAUUUUUGUAAGUGAAGUAAGCGAAGGCGAAAAAAGCUUCAUUGUGGACAAGCACAACGAGCUUCGGAGGCUUAUAGCAAACGACGCCGUCGAGGGACAACCGAGGGGAGUGAACCUGAAAGCAUUGAAAUACGACGAUGCCCUUGCCGGAGCAGCUCAGCAGAUUGCUAACAGCUGCGUGUUUGCCCAUCAAACAGUCACUGAUAGUAGGUGGCAAGCCGUGGGUCAAAACCUCUACAUCUAUAUGUCGACCGCGUACGACACAGCAUCCGACUGGGAUUCCGCUAUCCAGGACUGGUUUAACGAACACCAAUUUUACACCUUCAACAACGGUUUCGAUAGUGCCACUGGACAUUAUACGCAGCUCGUAUGGGCCGACACAGAAUACGUAGGAUGUGGAUACGCAGCUUAUGAAACGGACGACGCUUAUCGUUACCAGAAGCUUUACGUUUGCAACUAUGGACCUGCGGGUAACUACAUAGGCCAAUAUCCCUAUCAGACCGGCGACUCUGGCUGCGAAGAUUUGUUACAUUGAAACGAAUAUAACAACUUCACAUUCGAUUGUAAUGAGGGUAUUAGGCUGCUCAAUCAGAUUUUAGCAAACCCGGUUAAGCAGCGUGUCUCCUUUCUGCAACUUCGCGAUACAGGUAUUCAUAUAAAUAAUAUAAGAAGUAUUUAACGCAAUAAUAUCAUGUAAAAAAAUAAUCAAAACGUUCCAUUAGAUAGGAAAGUCGUAAUAAUACGUAAAUAGUAUAUUAUGCAACAAGUGCGGUAAACGGCAUUUGACUCACGAGUUAAUGUGACACAAGCGGAGAGCAGCGGAGCAAGUUUUUAGUAAACGAGAGAGUUAAAAAGUUUACCGAACUUGUUACAUACUAUACUUUUUCUACGGCCGUUUGUUUUUGGGUAUGUAUCAUUCCUUAGUUUAGCCUCGACAAUACUUAACGACUCCUCCAAGGGCACGUUGGUAUAUAGACUUUCAACGUUAAAGCUAAUAAACUUGUCUGAAACAUCUAAUUUCACGUUUUUUAGUGCCCGGAGUUUUUUACAAUCGUCAAUAACGUGGACAAGCUUGAAAAAUUAUUAUCGCUUAUUCGAGUGUUAGAAAAACUACUUGCUUUAAAAAUUCUAGUUACAAAGACAAAUCCGUAGAAUUUCGACUGCAGACUUUGAGGUUUCUAUACACACUGCUGUUAGUGCAGGCUUUAGUACAUAUAAGUAGAAUUACUAUUUUAUAUAAUGAAGUGGUGAAAUAGGUAGCUUGCUAGUGUACUAGGUACGUAUAAAAAGUUUUAUUAUCUCAUUCCAGAAAUUAACCGCGGUUUGAGUUUAAGAGGUCUUAUUAUUUAUUAUUUUGAUUUGCAUUAUUAUUUUAAAGUUUGCACAUUUCUUUAAAAACUAUGGUUAUUUACGAAUUCCACUUAUAAUUUCAAAUAAACUUUUACGGCACUGCCAUAUUUUUUAUUACCUAUGUAAACUGUUACUGCAUUGGUUCAGACACGGACAAUUUUUACAAACAUUUUUACCAAAAAUUUACCAGAAAAUAUUCUACUUCAGAUUCAGAUCCUGCGAAAUUCUAAGUAACUAUCAUUAAAAUUUAUGCACGAAAAUCUAAACUUAAGUAUAAUAUAUUUUGAAUCAUAUGCAUUUUAGAAAAUAAAGUUUUGGCUUCUGAUAUAACAAGGAAUAUAUUGGAGGAAAAAAAAGGAAAAAUAAUUAAUAUAUUUAAAAUCCGCUCUACAAGAGUCCCCAUAGGAAAGGUUUAAGCCAAAAUAUUCAGAAAAAAAAUUAAAAGUAUCAUAAAAAAAUGGAAGAUAGAUGAAUUACCACAAAUGUCAUUUUUUCUAUCCCAAAAAUAUUAAAUUAAAAAAUUAGUAUUAGAUAUAACAUUUUAUUUACGAAAUGAUUUUGUGAAAAAGUAAAUUUUCUCGAAGGAAAGAAUAAAACAUUGAAAUUUUAAUUUUCAAUGUUCAAUGUUUCGGCGCUUUAAUUGGCCUUCUUCAGUCAAAUAAAUGAUUUACACAUUUUUUAUUUAUUGUCUAUUCUCUUCUGUAAGAUACCUAAUUACAAAAUAAACUAGCGUGCCAAAAAUUGCAAUUGCAAAUCGGCGAAAGAAGGAUAUUUUACGUUUUCUGGGCUGACACGGAAUACGCAGGUUGUGAAGAUACAUUUUCUGACAAAAAUUGGUCAUCUUGAUAUCAAGGUCCUAUAAUGGGGCCUCCUUUAAAUACAAUUUACAACAGCAAUUCUGUCUUAUGUAUAAAAAAUGGCACGGCAUACUUUUAUGCUGAUGAUACUCAGGUAAUAUAUUCGUUUGUCCUCAGUACAUAGUAUACGGCACAAGAAUUGAUUAAUAAAGAUUUAAAAGCACCGACUGAAUUCUCAGCACGUCAGGUUUGAUAAUUAAUCCAACCAAAUCAUCUGUUAUGCUCUUUGGAUCGGUCUUUGAAUUUAACAUACAAGUGAGUGACAGAGUUUUGCAGUUACUCAAGUGAAUUAAUGGUUAGAAAUUGUUGUUAUGUAUCAUUUGAUUGAAUAUUGAACCAUUUUUAAUUGCUUUCAUUUCCUUUUCAGCAAUUUAUCUAUUUAUUUUUUUGUAUAUUGAAUACAGCAGAAUAAAUGUAUAAAUAUUAUUAUAAGCGUAAGUAUUUAUAGCAUCUCAGUUUUGGUUAGCUCAAGCACUCGUUUAACUAGUAAUUUAAUUGAACAGGGCAGGUGUGUUCGAAGACGCUUAAUUCAUUUUAAUAACCUUGGAAUCUUUAGAAAGGGCUUUCUCUAGGCAAUCGUUCGUGCAGUGAUUGCCAUUGAUUACCUGGCGUUUUGUAAUAAAUAACUUUACGAAAAAAGAUCAGUUGCAACGAUAUGUCUUUUAUGUCCUUACAUAAUCAAAUAGUAGCUCAACGAGUCAAAAUGGCAUCGCAAUAUAAAGAUAAAGAAUAAAGAUUCGAAUCUAAAAUGUGAAUAAAAGAAGUUUAAGAACCGGCUUCAAGAAGAGCGACAAAAAGAUUGAACCUAAGAGUACUCAGAACUCUCCGAAGUUUUUAUGGUCAAAGAGGCAAAAAAACUAUUUCCAAGGGACGAUCUAUUGGACACGCAUUGCAAUUACACAAUACAUAAGCUCCAAGAAGCGGCCAAUAGAAUUAAUUAAAAAACGCUAGUUGUUUAGAUGGUGUACAUCCCAAGAUUGUAAGAUAUGUGGGGCAGAAACUACAAGACAUCUGUCUGAAUCUAAUGAAACAGUUGCUGUUGAGAGGGGAAUUUCUGAGAAUAUGGAAAAAGGCCAGACUAGUCCACCUAGAAAAGCCUAAGAAGCGUGAACCGGGUCUAUCCUAUAAGUCUCUGUGUGUGCACACUGCUGAAGCAUCUUAUCAAGUAAAGACUCUGCUGAAAUUAGCAUGCGUUGCGGUUUUGAAAGUACCCAGUUUGGUUUCUCGAAAAAGAGAUCCACAGCGGACGCAGUCAAAAGGGUAAUGGAGGAAGUGGACGAGGGCAAAAGCACCGCUUGGCAGAACGGGAAACUAUGCCUGCUGGGGUGUGACUCUGGAAUUCGUUUUAUGUGAAGAAGGAGAGACUAUUUCGCUAAUGAAGGAUUUUUAAACUCCUAAAAAUCGCAUCCGUUGCAUAUUUAUAUAUUUGUUUUUUUUUAGCGUCGAUUAUUUUACCUGUUUAUUCGAAUUAUGUCAAAAUUAAGGAAGACACAAUAAUUUGUUUUCACAAUUAUUGAAAAGGUUGGAGUUAAAAUAAUUUUUUAAAUUUAAAAGUGUGUAGCCUUCCUACUUUGGGCGAAUGGCUCCAGUGCGUGAAUGUGACAGUUCGAUUAGGUUCCGUGGUGGUGGGGUCACCGCUUAGCGAAGGCACUCUUUGACUUUGGCCGAGGGUGAGAAGACGACGUGUUAGUGGGUCAAGGCGAGCCGAAAUAAUUUUGAAGAAAAACGCCAUUACUAUCACGUUAAAUUCUGUUUGCUCAUGUGGUUGGUUAUUCCUUGUUAUGUGCUGUCGGCCCCGAGAAAGGUGUUAAGUUAAUAUCGUUCUGUUCAAUCGUGGAUGUCAUAUGGCACAUUCAAAAUGGAAGUUCUGGUUAGAAGUUAACUUUGAGCACUUAUUUACGUCCUGACUGCCGUAUUUUUGUUCAUUGAGGAUGCGAUGCUUGUAGAACCCUUGUAUAGCACGUGCAGUAUAAUUAUCCAUGCCCGACCGACGAAACGA
Cylas formicarius (sweet potato weevil) is the source of this 6988-nucleotide RNA transcript. It is a transcript of the gene named venom allergen 5-like, with no coding region annotated. The transcript is spliced from 9 exons. The record is from RefSeq and is a predicted model, not a curated record. Lineage: Eukaryota; Metazoa; Arthropoda; Insecta; Coleoptera; Brentidae.